GAAAUGCGAUAAGUAAUGUGGAUUGCAGAAUUCCGUGAAUCAUCGAAUCUUUGAACGCACAUUGCGCCCUCUGGCAUUCCGGGGGGCAUGCCUGUCCGAGCGUCAUUACGCACCCUCAAGCCCGGCUUGUGUGAUGGGCCCCGGCGUCUCGUUCGCGAGACGGGCCCGAAAGGCAGCGGCGGCGUCGACCCGAUGAGCCCGAGCGUAUGGGGACUUCUGUCACACGUUCGCGGUGCGGACCGGCGCCUGCUUUGACUUUUCUGAUUAUCCAGGUUGACCUCGGAUCAGGUAGGGAUACCCGCUGAACUUAAGC
This 313-nucleotide unclassified non-coding RNA is filed under the name plant metagenome. RNAcentral describes it as "partial contains 5.8S ribosomal RNA, internal transcribed spacer 2, and large subunit ribosomal RNA". The stretch from base 1 to 105 matches the Rfam family "5.8S ribosomal RNA", at positions 50 to 154 of the family's 154-position model. The record is from RNAcentral.